This 253-nucleotide ribosomal RNA is filed under the name uncultured bacterium. RNAcentral describes it as "partial 16S ribosomal RNA". It matches the Rfam family "Bacterial small subunit ribosomal RNA", at positions 524 to 776 of the family's 1533-position model. The record is from RNAcentral.
UACAGAGGUCCCAAGCGUUGUUCGGAUUCACUGGGCGUAAAGGGUGCGUAGGCGGUCGGGUAAGUCUGAUGUGAAAUCUCCAAGCUCAACUUGGAAAUGGCAUCGGAUACUAUUCGGCUCGAGGAAUGGAGGGGAGACUGGAAUACUUGGUGUAGCAGUGAAAUGCGUAGAUAUCAAGUGGAACACCAGUGGCGAAGGCGAGUCUCUGGACAUUUCCUGACGCUGAGGCACGAAAGCCAGGGGAGCAGACGGG